Bactrocera neohumeralis is the source of this 7397-nucleotide long non-coding RNA. RefSeq lists it as uncharacterized. The transcript has 2 exons. NCBI's taxonomy places the organism in Eukaryota, Metazoa, Arthropoda, Insecta, Diptera, Tephritidae. The record is from RefSeq and is a predicted model, not a curated record.
AAGGAAACGAACUCUAAUCUUACGAACUAAGAGGGAUACCUCAUAAUUCCCACAAUAGUGAUAUGGAUGAACAAACCCUAAGUUUUACGCCCAUCUCCUACUGUGGAAGUAUGAGGAUACCCGCACCAACACCACCCUAAGCCAAGGUGUCGAGGUACCCGUGCCGAGGGCUAAAUGGUCAGCGGGGGGUAAUAAAUAGCUGAUCGCGAACAGUCCCCUCCGAUGCCCGGGCGAGAUCGGAGAUAUAAAAGCCUUCUCUCCGCAUACCGGCUCUGCGGACGAGUUACCAAUCCUUUCCGGCUUACUCGUGGGACCAAAAUAAACGAAAAUAAAUACCCCAACAACAACAACAACCAAAUUGACGACAACAGCGACGACUAAGGACACGAAUUACGGGAAUCCCAUAACGGAAUCCGAAGACGAAUUACUCGUCUCCUGGCUGCAGAGUACUGCCGGGCAUACCAACAAAAAUAUACCGAUAGAUACAGCAGUGAAAACAGCAGAUUUAAGGGAGGAAGCGUCCACCUCCAAAGCUGCCAUGAGCACCAACCAAAGUGCACUAGCGGCUAAAGGAGAAAACAAAAAUAAGCGCAAGAAAUCCCAGAAUCAGCUGAGGAAAACCCUGUACCAGAGGGCAGUCUUCAUACUAAGGACGAUAGGCAAAGACUAGCAACCGGUACGCCAGUUGAUGAGGCAGAAACAAAGCGCCUCAAAACAAUAGUAGAGGAAUAUGAAAGCUCCCCAACAAGGAAGCAAUCAGAACCUAUUCAAGAGAGCACUUCACAAAAAAGGAAUCGCUCUAUCACAGAAAUACCAGAAACGCUGCCCAAAAAACCUAGGCGGAGCAAGGCGUUUCUGCGAUGUAGCCAGGGAUAGCCUGCACGUGGCCAUCAUAGAUGGGAAUUCCUCUUCACCGAGCACUAUACAGGAAAUAUGGGUGGAGAUCGACGUCAGAUUGUCGAGUAUGGUGCUAAGCUUUGUACUCGACAAUCCUGCGGGUCCUCACCCGGGGUUUGACUCCCCUGAGACCCUCAGGGGCUACAGGGUCAUCAAGUGCGCGGACUAGGCCUCGCUAGUUUUCCUGACGGGUAGUGUUGCUAAAAUCAGCAACGCCUUUGUAGGCCUCCAAUUGAGGCUUAUACCCGCCAGGGAAAUUCCGAAGAGACCUCAUGCUCGCAUUUGGUUACCCCCUCUAGAGGAGCCAGGCGAAAAACUCCUGAGGUGCACCAAGCUGCAAAACAAAUCUAUACCUGGUAUAGAUGAGUGUCAGCGGAUCAAGGAGGAAAAAGCAAACAAAUCAAGCAGACCAAUACUAGUGGCCAUAUGCGAUGAGUCCAUUGAGGCGCUCAAGAAGACUGACUACAAAAUCAGCUUCGGAAUUCGCAAGGCCGACUAAAAAUCUUCCAAGGCGACAUAGCGGCUGACGAAGACGACACGGAAGAGGCUAAGGAAUGUAGGCAUCGAAGAAACCCGAGAUGCCCUAUAACUGAAGAUGCGUGCAGAUAAACCUGCAGCACUCGAAGAGUGCUACAGCGAAUCUGACAACCUUCAUAAACGAGGGGGGCAUAGACAUCAGCCUAGUACAGGAGCCCUGGGUCAAUGUAGGCACCAUUAAACUAUAACCUUUUUUACACACGGAACAAAGCACAGCAGAUAUCACAGUGGUAAAGGUGGAACAGAAGGAAAAGCCCUUCUUCUUGGUCUCGGCCUACUUGGUCCAUGACGAAGACAUACCACCGGCCCCGCUCACCAGACUAGUAGAGGACAACAGGAAGGAAGAUGUCCUAAUAGGGUGUGAUGCUUACGCUAGGCACACCGUAUGGGGUAGCUCAAGUAUAAACACCAGACGUGAAUCACUCUUGCAGUAUAUUCUGAAAAGUAAUCUAUAUAAUAAUAUGCAACAAGGGCGAUAAGCCAACCUUUAUUUUCCCAAGCUCUGAUAGGUUUCCGGGGUGGGAGGAAGUGCUGGACCUUACGCUAUCAUCAGACACAGACAGUCUCGUUGUGGAUAACUGGAGGGUAUCCGAUGAGCCUUCCAUGUCGGAUCACUCUUGGAUACUCUUCAACAUUCGCGAGAAAUACAGUGCUCCUCUCACAUAUCGGAACCCUAGAAGAACAGCGGAGGAUGGAGUCAUGUGUAGAAGUUCACCCAAGUGAGGAAAGUUCUCUGAUCGCCAUUCACUUGGGAGUGGCCAGAAACGAUUCUUUUACAUAUGACUCAAGCAGCUCACUACUUCCGGUCUUUGACCAAGUAUCCUCUGGGUAGCCUAAGAACAUCCGUUUGAAGGCGAGCUAAAGUGAGAAGGCGAAAUAUCCCCUACAUAGGGUUGUGCGCUGGGUUUGGGACCCGCUACGUAAAAAAAACAACCCCAAUGAACAGUAACAACCAGCCUCGGAUGAGAGGCCCCCGUUUGAUGACGACCAUGGCAAACGAAAUAAGGACUACGAUUUAAGGGCAUGCACCUGCAAUGUCCGGUCCCUUAAUUGGGAAGGUGCCGCUGCCCAGCUGGUUGAUGUCCUCGUGAAAAUAAAGGCUGACAUCACCGCCGUCCAAGAAAUGCGAUGGACGGGACAAGGACAGAAACCAGUAGGUCCUUGUGACAUUUACUACAGUGGCCAUAUAAAGGAGCGCAAGUUUGUUGUGAGAUUCGUGGAGGGAGAGAGACUUCGUCGCCGAGUACUAUCAUUCACUUCGGUGAAUGAACGUCUAGCCACAAUCCGAAUCAAAGCGAGGUUCUUCAACAUAUCGCUGAUUUGCGCCCACGCCCCGAAGGAAGAGAAGGACGAUGUGACCAAAGAUGCCUUUUAUGAGUGCUUGGAGCGCGCUUAUGAGAGCUGCCCCCGCCACGAUGUCAAAAUCCUGCUUGGCGACUUUAACGCCAGGGUGGGCAAAGAAGGUAUAUUUGGCUCUACGGUCGGUAAAUUCAGCCUCCACGAUGAAACAUCCCCAAAUGCGUUGAGGCUGAUCGACUUCGCCGGGGCCCGAAAUAUGGUUAUCUGUAGUACUAGAUUCCAGGAUAAGAAGAUUCAUCAAGCUACCUGGCUGUCUCCGGAUCGAAAAACUACCAACCAGAUCGAUCAUGUUGUGAUAGACGGAAGACACGUCUCCAGUGUUUUAGAUGUGCGUGCGCUCCGAGGUCCUAACAUCGACUCGGACCACUAUCUUGUUGCAGCUAAGAUUCGCACCCGCCUCUGUGCAGCAAAAAACGCACGCCAACAAACACAAGGAAGGUUCGACGUCGAGAAGCUGCAGUCACAACAGACAGCCGAACGAUUCUCUACUCGGCUUGCCCUCCUUCUCUCUGAGAGCACUCGUCAACAACUCGGUAUAAGGGAACUGUGAGACGGCAUUUCAAACUCCUUACGUACAGCUGCAACCGAAACCAUUGGUUUUCGGAAAGUGCAAAAAACAGCUGGUACGACGAGGAGUGCCGUGUCGCAGCGGAGAGAAAACAGGCUGCCUACCUCGCAACGUUACGAUCAACCACUACACGUGCGGGAUGGGAUAGAUACCGAGAGUUGAAGAGGGAAGCGAGUCUCAUUUGUGGACAGAAAAAGAAAGAAGCUGAAAUGCGUAAGUACGAAGAGCUUGAUAAGCUGGCCGACAGGGGUAAUGCUCGAAAAUUCUACGAAAAAAUGCGGCGGCUUACAGAAGGUUUCAAGACCGGAGCAUACUCUUGUAGAACCCCUAAAGGUGAUCUAGUCACUGAUGCCCAGAGCAUACUUAAAUUAUGGAGGGAACACUUCUCCAACCUGCUGAAUGGCAGUGAAUGCACAACACCAGGAGAAGGAGAACCCGAUUCCCCAAUCGAUGACGAUGAAGCAGACGUUCCAUUACCCGACCAUGAAGAAGUUCGAAUAGCAAUUGCCCGCCUGAAGAACAACAAAGCGGCAGGGGCCGACGGAUUGCCGGCCGAGCUAUUCAAACACGGCGGCGAAGAACUGAUAAGGAGCAUGCAUCAGCUUCUUUGUAAAAUAUGGUCGGAAGAAAGCAUGUCCAACGAUUGGAAAUUAAGUGUGCUAUGCCCAAUCCAUAAAAAAGUAGACCCCGUAGAGCGUAUUGUGUGAAAGAUUAAAGCCCACCGUCAACAAACUGAUUGGACCUUAUCAGUGUGGCUUCAGACCUGGAAAAUCAACAACCGAUCAGAUAUUCACCAUGCGCCAAAUCUUGGAAAAGACCCGUGAAAGAAGAAUCGACACACACCACCUCUUCGUCGAUUUCAAAGCUGCUUUCGACAGCACGAAAAGGAGCUGCCUUUAUGCCGCGAUGUCUGAAUUUGGUAUCCCCGCAAAACUAAUACGGCUGUGUAAACUGACGUUGAGUAACACGAAAAGCUCCGUCAGGAUCGGGAAGGACCUCUCCGAGCCGUUCGAUACCAAACGAGGUUUCAGACAAGGCGAUUCCCUAUCGUGCGACUUUUUCAACCUGCUUUUGGAGAAAAUAGUUCGAGCUGCAGAACUAAAUAGAGAAGGUCUUUUAUAAGAGUGUACAGCUGCUGGCGUAUGCCGAUGAUAUUGAUAUCAUCGGCCUCAACACCCGCGCCGUUAGUUCUACUUUCUCCAGGAUGGACAAGGAAGCAAAGCAAAUAGGUCUGGCAGUGAACGAGGGCAAAACGAAAUAUCUCCUGUCAUCAAACAAACAGUCGUCGCACUCGCGACUUGGCACUCACGUCACUGUUGACAGUCAUAACUUUGAAGUUGUAGAUAAUUUCGUCUAUUUAGGAACCAGUAUUAACGCCACCAACAACGUCAGCCUGGAAAUCCAACGCAGGAUAACUCUUGCCAACAGGUGCUACUUCGGACUGAGUAGGCAAUUGAGAAGCAAAGUCCUCUCUCGACAAACAAAAACCAAACUCUAUAAGUCACUCAUAAUUCCCGUCCUGCUAUAUGGUGCAGAGUCUUGGACGAUGUCAACAACUGAUGAGUCGACGUUGCGAGUUUUUGAGAGAAAAGUUCUGCGAAAGAUUUAUGGUCCUUUGCGCAUUGGCCACGGCGAAUAUCGCAUUCGAUGGAACGAUGAGCUGUACGAGAUAUACGACGACAUUGACAUAGUUCAGCGAAUUAAAAGACAGCGGCUACGCUGGCUAGGUCAUGUUGUCCGAAUGGACGAAAACACUCCAGCUCUGAAAGUAUUCGACGCUGUACCCGCCGGGGGAAGCAGAGGAAGAGGAAAACCUCCACUCCGUUGGAAGGACCAGGUGGAGAAGGACCUGGCUACGCUUGGAAUAUCCAAUUGGCGCCACGUAGCGAAAAGAAGAAACGACUGGCGCGCUGUUGUUAACUCGGCUAUAAUCGCGUAAGCGGUGUCUACGCCAAUUAAGAAGAAGAAGAACUUCGUGGGAAAAAUUUACCAGUAUAGCAACAAAAUGCCUUGAAAAGGGAGGCAAUAAGAGUAUUAGAAAUCCUCAGGAACUAGAUUCAGAAGUUGAGAAGUUGGAAAAAAUCUUAACAACAACUUUCAAAAAAUCCACUCCGCUAACAGUUUUGGAAAAGAGGAAGUCUCUUCCUUGGUGGUACAGUGAAUUUGAGAACACAACUAAGGAAAGCUUUCAAUGAGAGUUUUAGAACCAAAAUCUGGCAGCCAUGUAAAGAUAUUAUGAAAAGAUACAAAAAAGCAGUCAGGAAAGCUAAAAACGACUCAUGGAGAUCUUUCGAUAGAAAGUUGCAGAGAAACCGCUAGGCUGAGCAAAAUGCUAUCUAAAGAUCAUAUUAAUACCGCCUACAUUGGGGUGGAGGGAAGUGAUUGGAUCUCCUCAGCAAAAGAGUCUCUGGAGGAACUAAUUACAACGCACUUCCCCGGGAGUCAGCAAACACCUAAAACGAGGGUUCAACCAGAACCACCGUUGAACGCAGAUGAUUAUCGAAGCCAAAUAGUAGACAAAAGCAAAAUCAAAUAUACCAUAAAUAGUUUUGCACCAUUUAAAGCAACAGGCCCUGACGGGAUUAUGCCCAUAAUGCUGCAAAAACUGGUAGAACCAGUGGUUCAAAGGCUUGAAAAUAUAUACAAAGCUAGCAUUCAACUAUCUUACAUCCCAAGAAGUUGGAAAAGAAGUAAAGUUGUGUUCCUUCCAAAACCAGGCAGAAGAACACACGAGAAUGCCAAGGAUUUUAGGCCUAUAAGCCUUACCUCUUUUAUGUUGAAGGUACUAGAAAGGCUAAUAGAUUUACACGUAAGAAUAAUAAUGGCGGAGAAGUUAUAGAAGUCCCAACAUGCGUACAUAAAGGGCCGAUCAACCGAAACUGCCGUCCAUGAGGUGAUAAGUGUAAUUGAACAAUCACCACACUACAAGCAAUGCACCAUGGCUGCUUUUCUAGACAUAGAGGGCGCCUUUAAUAACAUAGAAAUAAAUGUUCUAAUUAAUUCGCUGGCACAUGACACUGUGUGCAGAUGGUUACUAUCGAUGCUUGAGAAUAGGAAGAUUAUAGCUUCAAACAGCGCAGCAACACAAACAAGUUAUGUGAGUAGAGGGACGCCUCAAAGAGGGGUCCUAUCUCCGCUUCUAUGGGUUGCAGCGCUGAACGAAAUACUACUCCAACUAAACGGUGGAGGAGUGAAAGCAGUAGCGUAUGCAGACGAUAUAGUGUUGUUGGUAUCAGACAUGUUUCCUUCAACAGUCAGCAAGAUUAUGGAAAGAGCACUUCGAAGGUUAAACCUUUGGGCUAAGAACAAUGGACUGGGACUUAACCCGAACAAAACAGAACUGAUGCUAUUCACAAGCAGAACCAAAAUACCUCAGUUUCCACUUCCGGUACUAAACGGUACAAUACUCACUCUAUCGCACACAGCUAAAUACUUGGGGAUGGAGAUUGACACCAAACUGUCCUGGAAAAUAAAUAUAGAAAAAAGCAUAAACAAAGCAUACAUGGCCUUCUAUACCUGUAAGAGAAUCGUCAACAAGAAUUGGGGCCUCAAACUAAGUAUAAUAAUGUGGAUGUAUACGGCUGUGAUAAGACCUAUACUUACAUAUGGAGCUCUGGUAUGGUGGCCAGCGCUAAACAAACAAUACAACAUUAAAAAAUAAAAUGGAAUACAAAGAGCAGCAUGUGCGGGUGUUACUGGUGCAAUCAGGUCAUGUCCGACUGAUGCGCCCAAUGUGAUCCUGCAUCAACUACCAAUGGACAUUUUUAUUCACAAAACAGCAGCCAUUACGGCGAUAAGAAUAAAAGAAUUGGGAGGUUGGAAUCAGCAAAACUACGGACAUAGUGUAAUCCUAAACAAGCUUACCAUUAGUGUAGAGACCCGCACUAGCGUUGUGCGAGUGUGGGAGACACAACGAUUCAGAGUAACGAACAUGAAUAUGAGUUAGUUGAAUAUUGAGCGUGAACUUAUAAAGUCGUACUAUCAAUGAACUCAAUAAAAUAUCAUAUUUCCAUUUGCAAAGCAUUACCGAGAAUAA